CUCUUGUUGAAUGUCAUUUUAACAUAGUGGUUGCCCCUGAGCAAUCAUGGGUCUCAAGGGAACCCAUGCUAUGGAUAUACUAUGGUGUUUUCUACUAUUGAUGGCUGUUAUAGGUCAAGAAGGCUGUCUUGGAGUGACCAUCAUUGGAGAGAUCAUAGUCAAAAAUGCUACGUUUGAUAAAGAAUCGGGAUGCGACCAGGCCGGACUUGACAAGAACUUGAAGGUAUACUACCAUGCAGCUGAAAUAGAUGGGUGACUCGUCUGUGUCUCUCCCUGUGCCUCUGGCCACAACAGGACAAAGCACUGUAACACCAGUACCUGUAGUAUGUCACGGGCCGGACCAGUCUGCGGAUCCACUAUCCACACAGCUGUAACAAGGACUACUGGUACCGAGACUCUGCAUGUUACGGCCCCAUCCUGAAGCGAGACAUCUUUGCUGCGUUACUGACUCUGGCAAGACUGGUGAUAGCAGCCAUGGGGGUCGUGGUGGUCUACAUGCCCUGGCAUAGACGACAAUCCCGCAGAGAAUGACCCUAACCCACAUUAUGGUGGCUGAGUGGGCUUGCAGUACGAGGCAGAGGGAGACUCCUCCAACUUCUCCCUACCAUGGAACACAGGCACAGGUGUCCAGGGAGAGGUUUGAGACCAUCUACCACGACUACAGUUCCUGGGGGCUGAUAGGGACACCAUACAAGACAUAGACACCUGAACCGACCUCCUCUUCAGGGCAACGUUUUGCAUCGAGUGACCCUGGCAGCCAAUCAAAGAAUGUCUAGCUUUCAUUUCAAUGACUGUUAGCAACCUGGACAAAGUGAAGAGACUAUAAAUGUAGGUACAAUAUCAUUUCUACAAACUUUUGAUUUGGUUUUAGUAAUUUCAAUGUCGAUUGACAUCGUUUUUCUGCGACAAAAAAACCCAAACAUUUUCAGAUUGUAUAGGCUCGCGGGCCUUGAGUUUGACAAGUGGUCUACAUUGUCAUUCAACCUGUUAAAAAAAGCUGUAAAAUAUGUAUGUUAUACUGUGGUUGCACUUUAUAAACUGGUGUGUACUUCCAUGGUAAAUUACUACAUAAGGAUAAUAUGGAGGAGCUAAUGUUGACGUUAAAAACCUAUUCCAUACUUAAAUACCUUUUUUUAAUAUUCCCUGACAGUUUAUGAUCAGCAGACCGGAGAUAAAGUCACUUUGAGAUGUAGUGGAUCAUCCUUUAAAUCAGUGUUUCAUCGACCACUGGAAAAAAGACUGAAACAAGAUCAGUAUUGG
Molecule: long non-coding RNA, 1260 nt
Filed under: Salmo salar (Atlantic salmon)
Lineage: Eukaryota; Metazoa; Chordata; Actinopteri; Salmoniformes; Salmonidae
Description: lncRNA (ENSSSAG00000096432.1)
Source: RNAcentral